UGCCAGCAGCCGCGGUAACACGAACUGUGCGAACGUUAUCCGGAUUUACUGGGCGUAAAGCGCAGGCAGGCGGCGGUGAAAGUCGGACGUGAAAGCCCCAGGCUCAACCUGGGGAGGCCGUUCGAAACUAGACUGCUGGAGGGCAGCAGAGGAACAUGGAAUUCCGGGUGGAGUGGUGAAAUGCGUAGAUAUCCGGAGGAACACCAGAGGCGAAGGCGGCUUUCUGGACCGAUACUGACGCUGAGACGCGAAAGCGUGGGGAGCAAACAGGAUUAGAUA
This 279-nucleotide ribosomal RNA is filed under the name uncultured bacterium. RNAcentral describes it as "partial 16S ribosomal RNA". It matches the Rfam family "Bacterial small subunit ribosomal RNA", at positions 506 to 784 of the family's 1533-position model. The record is from RNAcentral.